RNAcentral lists this ribosomal RNA (252 nucleotides) under uncultured bacterium. Its description in RNAcentral is "partial 16S ribosomal RNA". It matches the Rfam family "Bacterial small subunit ribosomal RNA", at positions 524 to 776 of the family's 1533-position model. The record is from RNAcentral.
UACGGAGGAUGCGAGCGUUAUCCGGAUUUAUUGGGUUUAAAGGGUGCGUAGGCGGACGCUUAAGUCAGCGGUAAAAUUGCGGGGCUCAACCUCGUCGAGCCGUUGAAACUGGGUGCCUUGAGUGGGCGAGAAGUACGCGGAAUGCGUGGUGUAGCGGUGAAAUGCAUAGAUAUCGCGCAGAACUCCGAUUGCGAAGGCAGCGUACCGGCGCCCAACUGACGCUGAAGCACGAAGGCGUGGGUAUCGAACAGG